GCCGGAGUGGCGGAAUGGCAGACGCAGGGGACUCAAAAUCCCCCGCCUUCACGGGCGUGCAGGUUCGAGUCCUGUCUCCGGCACCA
Molecule: transfer RNA, 86 nt
Filed under: Acidobacteriota bacterium
Lineage: Bacteria; Pseudomonadati; Acidobacteriota
Also listed under: 1 other name
Description: Acidobacteria bacterium (activated sludge metagenome) tRNA-Leu
Rfam family: tRNA
About the family: Transfer RNA (tRNA) molecules are approximately 80 nucleotides in length. Their secondary structure includes four short double-helical elements and three loops (D, anti-codon, and T loops).
Source: RNAcentral